AGCAAUUUGAGCAUAGAGUAGCGUUUCUGUGUGAUCAGACCAAGUAGGGUAGCCUUUACUCCCCACAUGCAUGAAUGAGCCUUUCAUACCCAUGACCCCGGCACCAGUUGUCCUUCCUUGCACCACUUUUGAUAGGUAUUAACCACUGCAUACCGGGAUCACCAACACAAGCCAUUUUGGAGAUGCACUGACCCAGGUAUCUAGCCUUCACUAUUUUUCUUUAUUUGACAGUCUCUCAGAUCUUUCACUUGCCCAUUUUCCCUUCUUUCAACACACAAAAUAGUGGACUUUGUAUCCUGAUCCUGGAAAGACAGACACCUUCUAGUCAAGGCAGUGGGAUUGUGCCCUAGUUGGCAAUAGCUUUAUAUGUGCGAAAAAGCAC
Pelobates cultripes (western spadefoot toad) is the source of this 382-nucleotide non-coding RNA. The record is from the annotation of a GenBank genome assembly. NCBI's taxonomy places the organism in Eukaryota, Metazoa, Chordata, Amphibia, Anura, Pelobatidae.